Molecule: long non-coding RNA, 343 nt
Filed under: Helianthus annuus (common sunflower)
Lineage: Eukaryota; Viridiplantae; Streptophyta; Magnoliopsida; Asterales; Asteraceae
Description: hypothetical non coding rna
Source: RNAcentral
UCUACAACGUCCUUUGCCGUAAAAACUGGACGACCCUCUUCAUUAGGUGUGGUUAACAUAGCCGUCACAAUACCACCUGUGCUUGUCCCAGCAAUCACAUCAAAAUAGUCUGCAAGUCUUGCAUUCUCACCAUCUAACUUCUGUUGUAUUUUAAGAUCUACAAAUGAUUUAGUUUCUAGAAAAUUAAGGAUCACACCCGGAAUGAUUCCUCGUACUCCACCUCCGUCGAUGCUGAGUACAGUGAUUAGAUUCCCAUAUGUUGGUGGUUGCAAAGGUGACCGCGGUCCUUCCAUAUAUGACAUCGUGGAUUCAAUCUAAUGGUCGAGUUACUAGCUAGAUUUUG